UGAGGAAUUUUCUGCAAUGGGCGAAAGCCUGACAGAGCAAUACCGCGUGAGGGAUGAAGACUUACUGAGUUGUAAACCUCGGUGCCUUAAGGAAGAAGAUCUGACGGUACUUAAGGUGGAAAGCAUCGGCUAACUCCGUGCCAGCAGCCGCGGUAAGACGGGGGAUGCAAGUGUUAUCCGGAAUCACUGGGCGUAAAGCGUCUGCAGGUGGUUUCCUAAGUCCACUGUUAAACCUUGAGGCUCAACCUCAAAUCUGCAUUGGAAACUAGGAGACUUGAGUAUAGUAGGGGUAGAGGGAAUUUCCAGUGGAGCGGUGAAAUGCGUAGAUAUUGGAAAGAACACCGAUGGCGAAGGCACUCUACUGGGCUAUUACUGACACUCAGAGACGAAAGCUAGGGGAGCAAAUGGGAUUAGAUACCCGUGUAGUCC
Molecule: ribosomal RNA, 429 nt
Filed under: uncultured bacterium
Lineage: Bacteria
Description: bacterial SSU rRNA
Rfam family: Bacterial small subunit ribosomal RNA
Source: RNAcentral